Rhipicephalus microplus (southern cattle tick) is the source of this 546-nucleotide long non-coding RNA. NCBI's taxonomy places the organism in Eukaryota, Metazoa, Arthropoda, Arachnida, Ixodida, Ixodidae. The record is from RefSeq and is a predicted model, not a curated record.
CACGGGAUGAGACCGCUUAUAUAGUGCAUGCAGUGAUGUGCAUACUGCUUUAUAUGCUCAUUAACCUAUACCUGGUUAUGCUCUACAAGCAUGACAACCACAGCUAUGAAGUACGCACUGCUGAUGCUAUUAUGGGUGACUGUAUCCUUGGCGUCACAAGAUGCAACUACGUGCACAAAGACCACCAUUGAAGUUGGCAACGGUAAAUGUGAAACAAGUGCAUUAUCUCAUCGCCCGGGUCAUGUCACGCACCUCAGUUGCCCAUGUGCAAAUAUGAUCUGUGAUGACAAAAGGAAGCGAGUAAUUGUAACAUGGUGCUGACAAUCCACAGAUUAUAACAAACCGAGAAAAAGCAAAAUCGCUCGUUAUAUGUCUGCUCGAUGCUUUUCUAAGUGACAUGUGUCGGAUGUAUUCGGCUUGCUAUUUUGUAUGACUGUCUAUAACGCAUUGAGUGUAUUUUGGAAGAAUUGUAACCCCUGCAUGUACUUUAUAAUGUAGUUCAAACUGAAGUAUAGAUAAAAAUAAAGAUUUCGCUCUUUCGCUUAA